Molecule: ribosomal RNA, 541 nt
Filed under: uncultured bacterium
Lineage: Bacteria
Description: bacterial SSU rRNA
Rfam family: Bacterial small subunit ribosomal RNA
Source: RNAcentral
AAGCGGGUGGAAGCAUGUGGUUUAAUUCGAAGCAACGCGCAGAACCUUACCAGCCCUUGACAUAGGGGUUUGGGGUCUUGGAGACAGGACCUCUCAGUUCGGCUGGGCCCCAUACAGGUGCUGCAUGGCUGUCGUCAGGCUCGUGUCGUGANAUGUUGGGUUAAGUCCCGCAACGAGCGCAACCCUCGCCCUUAGUUGCCAUCGGUUCGGCCGGGCACUCUAGGGGAACUGCCGGUGACAAGCCGGAGGAAGGCGGGGAUGACGUCAAGUCCUCAUGGCCCUUAUGGGCUGGGCUACACACGUGCUACAAUGGCGGUGACAGUGGGCAGCGAAGCCGCAAGGUGGAGCCAAUCCCCAAAAACCGUCUCAGUUCGGAUUGUUCUCUGCGACUCGAGAGCAUGAAGGUGGAAUCGCUAGUAACCGUGGAUCAGCAUGCCACGGUGAAUACGUUCCCGGGCCUUGUACACACCGCCCGUCACACCAUAGGAGUUGGUUUUAUCCCGAAGCCGGUGCGCUAACCGCAAGGAGGCAAACCGACCAC